Ictidomys tridecemlineatus (thirteen-lined ground squirrel) is the source of this 72-nucleotide non-coding RNA. The record is from Rfam. Lineage: Eukaryota; Metazoa; Chordata; Mammalia; Rodentia; Sciuridae.
UGGGUUGUGGCUCAGUGGUAGAGCGCUUGCCUAACAUGCAUGGGGCUCUGAGUUCGAUCCUCAGCACCACAU